This 392-nucleotide ribosomal RNA is filed under the name uncultured bacterium. RNAcentral's name for it is "bacterial SSU rRNA". It matches the Rfam family "Bacterial small subunit ribosomal RNA", at positions 28 to 414 of the family's 1533-position model. The record is from RNAcentral.
GAUGAACGCUAGCGGCAAGCUUAAUACAUGCAAGUCGAGGGGCAGCAUGACUGUAGCAAUACAGUUGAUGGCGACCGGCAAACGGGUGCGGAACACGUACAGAACCUUCCUUCGAGCGGGGAAUAGCCCAGAGAAAUUUGGAUUAAUACCCCAUAGUAUAUUGGAGUGGCAUCACUUUGAUAUUAAAGAUUUAUCACUUGAAGAUGGCUGUGCGGCUGAUUAGAUAGUUGGCGGGGUAACGGCCCACCAAGUCUGCGAUCAGUAACUGGUGUGAGAGCACGACCAGUCACACGGGCACUGAGACACGGGCCCGACUCCUACGGGAGGCAGCAGUAAGGAAUAUUGGUCAAUGGACGAAGUCUGAACCAGCUAUGCCGCGUGGAGGAUGAAGG